UCUUUUAGAUUUUUGUUGGAUUUGAAGAUCUGAGAAAUUUUGACCAGAUUGGAUGAAGGGCAUCUCAGCUCCCUUUUCCUCUUCUUCCCACCUAUCUGCUUUAGUCUGGUUCUCUUAGCCAUUCCAUUUUCGAUUGCCUUUUAGCGUAGCAAGGGACCUUUCCAAUCAGAGUCUCCUUUCACAAUAACAUAUGUGAGACCCAUAUCUAUUCCUGUAAGGAUGGCUUCAUAACAUGCAAUGGCUUCUGCGUCAAAGGCCAUGCCCACCGCUGUAUGGAGGCAAGAUUUAGAAAUCUUGAUUUCUCUAUUACCAUUUCGUGCCACAAUCGCUGAUGCCGAUUUGUAACUCAUACUUUCGAAAGAGGCAUCAAAGUUGAUUUUGAUGGUUGGGUUUUCAGAUUUUUGUUUCUGUCCAGCCAAAGUACCCAUAUUUCAUAGAUGAACAAGCGACGAUGGGGUUCCAAACAUCUGCUAAAAACCCAUAUAAGCCAUUCAAAGCAGUCUGUUGGUUCACUUUGACCUAUCCAUCCGAAGUUUACAUUUUUCCAUAAUUCUACUGCUACAGGACAUUCAACGAAGGCGUGCCAAAGUCUCACCACCCACUUUGCACCUGGGGAACUGAUUGCUAUGGGCCACUCUCCUAACGUUUAAAUUGGCCAUUGUCGGAAUAUAGAUCUAAGACACUCUCCAAAGCAUGAUCUUGAUUUUGUUGGGGAUUUGGAGUUCACAUAGUUGUUUGUAAAAUUGUUUGGUUGUGUUCUGUGUAGCAUUAGAGCUAGUUGUAUUAUUCUGGGUCUGUAAUAGUUUAUAGGCACUUCGGACUGUGAAUGUACCUGAGGGCUCACCUCGCCAGAUGACCAUAUCAGUAUGCCCGUCUCUUGCUAUUGGGAUCUGCAAGAUUCUAUCCAAAUCGUUCGCCUCAAAGGUAUUACGAAUAAGCUCUUCCCUCCACACUUUAUUGUUACUAUCAAUUAAAGAUGCAACAGUAGUAAUAUCUAUGUUAGUAAUUUGAUGAUAGACUUUUUAAUUGUCUACCCCGGGCAGCCACGCAUCCUUAUUAAUUAAAAUACUUUCUCCUGUA
Long non-coding RNA from Gossypium raimondii (Peruvian cotton), 1080 nucleotides. RefSeq lists it as uncharacterized. The transcript has 3 exons. The record is from RefSeq and is a predicted model, not a curated record. NCBI's taxonomy places the organism in Eukaryota, Viridiplantae, Streptophyta, Magnoliopsida, Malvales, Malvaceae.